UUGGAUGUUUAAACAUAUGAAUAUGCAGGUC
Molecule: non-coding RNA, 31 nt
Filed under: Mus musculus (house mouse)
Lineage: Eukaryota; Metazoa; Chordata; Mammalia; Rodentia; Muridae
Source: RNAcentral